Molecule: ribosomal RNA, 253 nt
Filed under: uncultured bacterium
Lineage: Bacteria
Description: partial 16S ribosomal RNA
Rfam family: Bacterial small subunit ribosomal RNA
Source: RNAcentral
UACAGAGGUGGCAAGCGUUGUUCGGAAUUACUGGGCGUAAAGGGCACGUAGGCGGCCUUCUAAGUCAGACGUGAAAUCCCCCGGCUUAACCUGGGAACUGCGUCUGAUACUGGGAGGCUUGAGUAUGGGAGAGGGAUGUAGAAUUCCAGGUGUAGCGGUGAAAUGCGUAGAUAUCUGGAGGAACACCGGUGGCGAAGGCGGCAUUCUGGACCGACAUUGACGCUGAGGAGCGAAAGCCAGGGGAGCAAACGGG